ACGGGAGGCAGCAGUGGGGAAUAUUGCACAAUGGGGGAAACCCUGAUGCAGCGACGCCGCGUGAGUGAAGAAGUAUUUCGGUAUGUAAAGCUCUAUCAGCAAGGAAGAAAAUGACGGUACUUGACUAAGAAGCCCCGGCUAACUACGUGCCAGCAGCCGCGGUAAUACGUAGGGGGCAAGCGUUAUCCGGAUUUACUGGGUGUAAAGGGAGCGUAGACGGUGAGGCAAGUCUGAAGUGAAAUGCAUGGGCUCAACCCAUGAACUGCUUUGGAAACUGUCUGACUAGAGUGCGGGAGAGGUAAGUGGAAUUCCUAGUGUAGCGGUGAAAUGCGUAGAUAUUAGGAGGAACACCAGUGGCGAAGGCGGCUUACUGGACUGUAACUGACGUUGAGGCUCGAAAGCGUGGGGAGCAAACAGGAUUAGAUACCCUGGUA
Molecule: ribosomal RNA, 434 nt
Filed under: uncultured Lachnospiraceae bacterium
Lineage: Bacteria; Bacillati; Bacillota; Clostridia; Lachnospirales; Lachnospiraceae
Description: bacterial SSU rRNA
Rfam family: Bacterial small subunit ribosomal RNA
Source: RNAcentral